GAUGAACGCUGGCGGCGUGCCUAAUACAUGCAAGUCGAGCGAACAGACGAGGAGCUUGCUCCUCUGACGUUAGCGGCGGACGGGUGAGUAACACGUGGAUAACCUACCUAUAAGACUGGGAUAACUUCGGGAAACCGGAGCUAAUCCCGGAUAAUAUAUUGAACCGCAUGGUUCAAUAGUGAAAGACGGUUUUGCUGUCACUUCUAGAUGGAUCCGCGCCGCAUUAGCUAGUUGGUAAGGUAACGGCUUACCAAGGCAACGAUGCGUAGCCGACCUGAGAGGGUGAUCGGCCACACUGGAACUGAGACACGGUCCAGACUCCUACGGGAGGCAGCAGUAGGGAAUCUUCCGCAAUGGGCGAAAGCCUGACGGAGCAACGCCGCGUGAGUGAUGAAGGUCUUCGGAUCGUAAAACUCUGUUAUUAGGGAAGAACAAAUGUGUAAGUAACUAUGCACGUCUUGACGGUACCUAAUCAGAAAGCCACGGCUAACUACGUG
This 497-nucleotide ribosomal RNA is filed under the name uncultured bacterium. RNAcentral describes it as "partial 16S ribosomal RNA". It matches the Rfam family "Bacterial small subunit ribosomal RNA", at positions 28 to 507 of the family's 1533-position model. The record is from RNAcentral.